AGGAGAUAAAUGAUGCAGAACAUGAAUAUAUGAAUAUCUGCCCCCUCCCCAAUUAUCGACUUUCCGGCGUCCCUGGCUGAAUUUGAAGUUUUUUAAAACUUUUUUUACUUUGAUGUACCGUGAAAUGCAUACAGGUUAUAACCCGCGAAUAAAUAAUUAGAACUUGGGUCAGUAUAUAUGACUUAUAUUAUAUAUUAUUAUUAUUAUAAUAGUAUAUGUACUAUUCACAACAUGAGCGGCAGUGAUGUAUCGGACGCGAAUGUUAUGAAUGGCUUGUGAAACGUCUUGAUAAGUUUAGCAGGGUUUGGUAGAAAACGUGGG
Paramuricea clavata is the source of this 321-nucleotide non-coding RNA. NCBI's taxonomy places the organism in Eukaryota, Metazoa, Cnidaria, Anthozoa, Malacalcyonacea, Plexauridae. The record is from the annotation of a GenBank genome assembly.